Molecule: long non-coding RNA, 3052 nt
Organism: Cucumis sativus (cucumber)
Lineage: Eukaryota; Viridiplantae; Streptophyta; Magnoliopsida; Cucurbitales; Cucurbitaceae
Product: elongation factor 2
Exons: 4
Source: RefSeq, a predicted model, not a curated record
AUUUUCCCCCUUCCUUUCUUCUGCCUCUAUCCCACUUCGCUUCUCCUUUCUUCGCCUUUACUUCUUCGUAGAGGCUUAACGGAGGCGCCUUCCUUUCCCUUCCUUUCCUCUCCCUCCAUUUCUUCUUUCUUCUUACAGCCUAACAACAAUCUUAAUUUCGGAAUAUUCUGAAAUUUGAAGACUUGUCAAGAUGGUGAAGUUUACGGCUGAAGAGCUUCGUAGGAUUAUGGACUACAAGCAUAACAUUCGUAAUAUGUCUGUUAUUGCUCAUGUUGAUCAUGGGAAGUCCACUCUUACAGAUUCUCUUGUGGCUGCUGCCGGUAUCAUUGCACAAGAAGUUGCCGGUGAUGUACGAAUGACAGAUACUCGCCAAGAUGAGGCAGAGCGUGGUAUCACCAUUAAAUCUACUGGAAUCUCCCUCUACUAUGAGAUGUCUGAUGAAUCCUUGAAAAGUUACAAGGGAGAGAGACACGGAAAUGAGUAUCUUAUCAAUCUUAUUGAUUCACCUGGGCACGUUGACUUCUCGUCGGAGGUUACAGCUGCUUUGCGUAUUACUGACGGUGCCCUUGUUGUGGUGGAUUGCAUCGAAGGUGUUUGUGUCCAAACAGAGACUGUGCUCCGUCAGGCUUUGGGAGAGAGGAUUAGACCCGUCUUGACCGUUAACAAGAUGGAUAGGUGCUUCCUUGAACUUCAAGUGGAUGGAGAAGAGGCUUAUCAAACAUUCCAGAGGGUCAUUGAGAAUGCCAAUGUGAUUAUGGCCACAUAUGAGGAUCCACUUCUUGGCGAUGUUCAAGUGUACCCGGAGAAAGGAACAGUUGCUUUCUCUGCUGGUUUGCAUGGUUGGGCAUUUACCCUGACUAACUUUGCGAAGAUGUAUGCCUCCAAGUUUGGAGUAGAUGAGGCGAAGAUGAUGGAGAGACUUUGGGGUGAGAAUUUCUUUGAUCCUGCAACCAAGAAGUGGACAAGCAAGAACACUGGCACGCCAACAUGCAAGCGUGGGUUUGUCCAGUUCUGCUACGAACCUAUCAAGCAGAUCAUUGCAACUUGCAUGAACGAUCGGAAGGACAAGCUAUGGCCCAUGUUGCAGAAGCUUGGUGUUGUCAUGAAGUCUGAUGAGAAGGAUCUGAUGGGCAAACCACUGAUGAAGCGGGUCAUGCAAACAUGGCUACCAGCAAGUACUGCUCUUUUGGAAAUGAUGAUCUUUCAUCUUCCAUCCCCUGCCAAGGCUCAAAAGUAUCGUGUGGAGAAUUUGUACGAAGGUCCACAAGAUGAUGUUUACGCUAGUGCCAUUAGGAAUUGUGAUCCUGAGGGACCUCUUAUGCUUUAUGUAUCAAAGAUGAUUCCAGCAUCUGAUAAGGGCAGGUUCUUUGCCUUUGGACGUGUGUUCUCUGGGAAAGUUUCAACUGGUUUGAAAGUUAGAAUCAUGGGCCCCAACUAUGUUCCUGGUGAGAAAAAAGAUUUGUAUGUUAAGAGCGUCCAGAGAACUGUCAUUUGGAUGGGAAAGAAGCAAGAAACAGUGGAGGAUGUGCCUUGUGGUAACACUGUUGCCAUGGUUGGGCUGGAUCAAUUUAUCACUAAGAAUGCCACUCUGACAAAUGAAAAGGAAGUCGAUGCUCAUCCAAUUCGAGCCAUGAAGUUUUCUGUAUCUCCCGUCGUGCGUGUUGCCGUUCAGUGCAAGGUGGCCUCUGAUCUUCCCAAGCUUGUGGAAGGACUUAAACGUCUGGCCAAGUCAGACCCUAUGGUUGUGUGUACCAUGGAGGAAUCUGGUGAGCACAUUGUUGCUGGCGCUGGAGAACUACAUCUUGAGAUCUGUUUGAAGGAUUUGCAAGAUGAUUUCAUGGGUGGAGCUGAGAUCAUAAAAUCUGACCCUGUUGUCUCUUUCCGUGAAACCGUACUUGAGAGGUCAUGCCGCACAGUGAUGAGCAAGUCCCCUAACAAGCACAAUCGACUGUACAUGGAAGCACGACCCAUGGAGGAUGGACUGGCAGAGGCUAUUGAUGAUGGCCGCAUUGGACCACGAGAUGAUCCUAAAGUUAGGUCUAAAAUUUUGUCAGAGGAGUUUGCAUGGGACAAAGAUCUUGCUAAGAAGAUUUGGUGCUUUGGUCCUGAGACUACCGGCCCUAACAUGGUGGUUGAUAUGUGUAAGGGAGUUCAAUACCUGAAUGAAAUCAAGGAUUCUGUUGUUGCUGGUUUCCAAUGGGCGUCGAAAGAAGGUGCAUUGGCGGAAGAGAACAUGAGGGGCAUCUGUUUUGAAGUUUGUGAUGUGGUGCUUCACGCUGAUGCCAUCCACAGAGGAGGUGGUCAAGUGAUUCCGACUGCUAGGAGGGUAAUCUACGCUUCUCAGCUGACUGCCAAACCAAGACUUCUUGAGCCAGUGUACCUAGUGGAGAUUCAGGCUCCCGAGCAAGCUCUUGGUGGUAUCUACAGUGUUCUUAAUCAAAAGCGUGGGCACGUCUUUGAGGAAAUGCAGAGGCCUGGCACACCUCUUUACAACAUUAAGGCAUAUCUCCCCGUUAUCGAAUCAUUUGGGUUCUCGAGCACUUUGAGAGCUGCAACUUCUGGCCAGGCAUUCCCACAGUGUGUGUUUGACCAUUGGGAAAUGAUGUCUUCAGAUCCAUUAGAAAGUGGGUCUCAAGCUGCGCAGUUGGUUGCUGAUAUCAGGAAGAGGAAGGGGUUGAAGGAGCAAAUGACCCCACUUUCCGAUUUCGAGGACAAGCUGUAGAUUGCAGUCAUUUUGUUGAAUUUUCAUGCGCCAACAACACAACCUUGUGAAUUCUGAAGCGAAGAGGUUCUAAUUAGUUCCCUAUUUCUAUCAUCAUAUCAUAUAGGAAGACAAGCCUAUCUUUUUGGAAAAAAAUCCUUUUUUUUUUUUUUUUUCAUUUUCAACUGUUUUUUUUACCUUCGUUUUGAGUUUGUAUGGACAACCAAUAUAUAUUCCUGUUGAAAUAUGUUAUGUGGGUCAAAUGUUCUGAACAUGUUAUUGAUCUUCAAAAUUAUCAUCAUCUUUAAUUAAUCAUAUUGAAAUUAGAAUAAACUUUUACAUUUUUGUGUU